RNAcentral lists this long non-coding RNA (272 nucleotides) under Olea europaea subsp. europaea. Lineage: Eukaryota; Viridiplantae; Streptophyta; Magnoliopsida; Lamiales; Oleaceae. The record is from RNAcentral.
CUCUCAUACGGUGGAAAUACUUUCAUGACUUGCAUUAUGUCACACUUCUCAAUGUUCAUGCUUUGUAAUUUUUUCUAGAACCAAUUGCUAAUUGAUGUGGUUUAGUGUAUCUAACGUUGCUUGAAUCUCCAUAGCAUUAGCAAUUUGUUUAGACGAUACAUAAAUGCUUGAUAGGGCUAUGAGACUCUCAUCAUUGGGUUGGGUACGUCAUCGUCGAAUUUUGGUGGUUCCUCCUUCAACAUUAUGCUUAAGAGCGCGAAUUGGGCUUGGAU